This 61-nucleotide transfer RNA is filed under the name opilioacarid SJD-2001. RNAcentral's name for it is "tRNA-Glu". The record is from RNAcentral. Lineage: Eukaryota; Metazoa; Arthropoda; Arachnida; Opilioacarida; Opilioacaridae.
GUUUCUUUGGUGUAACGAACACAUAACAUUUUCAUUGUUAAACUGAAAUCUUCAAGAAAUA